RNAcentral lists this ribosomal RNA (253 nucleotides) under uncultured bacterium. Its description in RNAcentral is "partial 16S ribosomal RNA". It matches the Rfam family "Bacterial small subunit ribosomal RNA", at positions 524 to 776 of the family's 1533-position model. The record is from RNAcentral.
UACGUAUGUCCCAAGCGUUAUCCGGAUUUAUUGGGCGUAAAGCGAGCGCAGACGGUUAUUUAAGUCUGAAGUGAAAGCCCUCAGCUCAACUGAGGAAUUGCUUUGGAAACUGGAUGACUUGAGUGCAGUAGAGGAAAGUGGAACUCCAUGUGUAGCGGUGAAAUGCGUAGAUAUAUGGAAGAACACCAGUGGCGAAGGCGGCUUUCUGGACUGUAACUGACGUUGAGGCUCGAAAGUGUGGGUAGCAAACAGG